RNAcentral lists this ribosomal RNA (439 nucleotides) under uncultured bacterium. RNAcentral describes it as "bacterial SSU rRNA". It matches the Rfam family "Bacterial small subunit ribosomal RNA", at positions 377 to 828 of the family's 1533-position model. The record is from RNAcentral.
ACGCAGCUGAUGCAGCGACGCCGCGUGAGGGAUGACGGCCUUCGGGUUGUAAACCUCUUUCGUUAGGGAAGAAGCGAAAGUGACGGUACCUGCAGAAGAAUCGCCGGCUAACUACGUGCCAGCAGCCGCGGUAAUACGUAGGGCGCAAGCGUUAUCCGGAAUUAUUGGGCGUAAAGAGCUCGUAUGCGGUUUGUCGCGUCUGCCGUGAAAGUCCGGGGCUCAACUCCGGAUCUGCGGUGGGUACGGGCAGACUAGAGUGAUGUAGGGGAGACUGGAAUUCCUGGUGUAGCGGUGAAAUGCGCAGAUAUCAGGAGGAACACCGAUGGCGAAGGCAGGUCUCUGGGCAUUAACUGACGCUGAGGAGCGAAAGCAUGGGGAGCGAACAGGAUUAGAUACCCUGGUAGUCCAUGCCGUAAACGUUGGGCACUAGGUGUGGGGG